RNAcentral lists this ribosomal RNA (274 nucleotides) under uncultured bacterium. RNAcentral's name for it is "partial 16S ribosomal RNA". It matches the Rfam family "Bacterial small subunit ribosomal RNA", at positions 523 to 796 of the family's 1533-position model. The record is from RNAcentral.
AUACGGAGGGGGCUAGCGUUGUUCGGAUUUACUGGGCGUAAAGCGCGCGUAGGCGGUAUAUCAAGUUAGGCGUGAAAGCCCUGGGCUCAACCCAGGAAUUGCGUUUAAUACUGGUAAGCUAGAGACCGAGAGAGGGUGGCGGAAUUCCCAGUGUAGAGGUGAAAUUCGUAGAUAUUGGGAAGAACACCAGUUGCGAAGGCGGCCACCUGGAUCGGAACUGACGCUGAGGUGCGAAAGCGUGGGGAGCAAACAGGAUUAGAAACCCCAGUAGUCC